AACGAACGCUGGCGGCAUGCCUAACACAUGCAAAUCGAACGAGACCUUCGGGUCUAGUGGCGCACGGGUGCGUAACGCGUGGGAACCUGCCCUUAGGUUCGGAAUAACUCCCCGAAAGGGGUGCUAAUACCGGAUAAUGUCUUCGGACCAAAGGUUUAUCGCCUUUGGAUGGGCCCGCGUUGGAUUAGCUAGUUGGUAGGGUAAAAGCCUACCAAGGCGACGAUCCAUAGCUGGUCUGAGAGGAUGAUCAGCCACACUGGGACUGAGACACGGCCCAGACUCCUACGGGAGGCAGCAGUGGGGAAUAUUGGACAAUGGGCGAAAGCCUGAUCCAGCAAUGCCGCGUGAGUGAUGAAGGCCUUAGGGUUGUAAAGCUCUUUUACCCGGGAUGAUAAUGACAGUACCGGGAGAAUAAGCUCCGGCUAACUCCGUG
RNAcentral lists this ribosomal RNA (433 nucleotides) under uncultured bacterium. RNAcentral describes it as "partial 16S ribosomal RNA". It matches the Rfam family "Bacterial small subunit ribosomal RNA", at positions 29 to 507 of the family's 1533-position model. The record is from RNAcentral.